CUCGUGAGCACUGGUUAAAUGCAAUCCAUGGAAAAUUGGAACAAAUACAAUAGCAACGGUUGCUGUGAGGAUAACAUAAGAAAAGAGCAACAUCAUAUAUUGUGCUCCAUAUGUAAAAAUCUCGCUUGGAACGCCGAGUAAAGUUAUAGCAGAAAGAGAUGUGGCUAGUAGCGAUAUAGCGAUGGGAAAUGUCUUCAUACUACGAUUACCAAGUAAAUAUUCACUGGUCGUACGUUGUCUUCCGCCAGUACAGCCAUGGUAUAUACCAAUACCUGCAGAAAUUAACAACAUUAAACCAAACAAGACAUAAUCCACAGGAUGAAAUGUUCUUUCCUGUUCUGCCAUUUUUAAUAGAUACUCAACCAGAACAGACAGAAC
Non-coding RNA from Paramuricea clavata, 378 nucleotides. The record is from the annotation of a GenBank genome assembly. Lineage: Eukaryota; Metazoa; Cnidaria; Anthozoa; Malacalcyonacea; Plexauridae.